GGAGGGAUCGCAUAGAGGCCUAGUGCGGGCGCCUGCUAAGCGCUUACAGGGGCUUAAACCUCUGUCGUGGGUUCGAAUCCCACUCCCUCCGCCA
This 94-nucleotide transfer RNA is filed under the name Chloroflexi bacterium RBG_13_60_13. RNAcentral describes it as "tRNA-Ser". It matches the Rfam family "tRNA". Rfam says of the family: Transfer RNA (tRNA) molecules are approximately 80 nucleotides in length. RNAcentral also lists the same sequence under 2 other names. The record is from RNAcentral. Lineage: Bacteria; Bacillati; Chloroflexota.